GGGGGCGUCACGGUCUCGACGGGUUGUGCCCUGGCGAAGGAAGCAAGCGGAGUUCCGAGCUCUCCUUAAACGAUCGGAAACCGUAUACACGCGAACAGCGAAUACGCACUAGCUGCCUAAUCUAGGUUAGCUACGGCCGCGGGGCAACGGCGCCGGCACGGGCCCGCGGCUGUCAAACAAGACGGCUUACGAUUUCGGGCGCCGCGACGGAAUCGGACAAUGAAUCGGGGCUGGCGGCCGCGGUAAUCUCGCUCGGGAGAGUACGCGGCAGCGAGAAUAAAGCCCGAGAUAAGCUUGUAGAUGCCUUCGUGGGGGUCUUCUCGGACAUCGGUUCAACUCCGAUCGCCUCCACCA
RNAcentral lists this transfer-messenger RNA (354 nucleotides) under Vulcanimicrobiota. RNAcentral describes it as "JAFAHD01 sp019237415 Standard tmRNA". It matches the Rfam family "transfer-messenger RNA". From Rfam's summary of the family: Bacterial tmRNA, also known as 10Sa RNA or SsrA, is named for its dual tRNA and mRNA-like properties. The record is from RNAcentral. Lineage: Bacteria; Bacillati.